RNAcentral lists this ribosomal RNA (297 nucleotides) under uncultured bacterium. RNAcentral describes it as "partial 16S ribosomal RNA". It matches the Rfam family "Bacterial small subunit ribosomal RNA", at positions 789 to 1084 of the family's 1533-position model. The record is from RNAcentral.
GGUAGUCCACGCCGUAAACGAUGGCCACUAGGUGUGGGGGGUAUCGACCCCCUCCGCGCCGCAGCUAACGCAAUAAGUGGCCCGCCUGGGGAGUACGGCCGCAAGGCUAAAACUCAAAGGAAUUGACGGGGGCCCGCACAAGCAGCGGAGCGUGUGGUUUAAUUCGACGCAACGCGAAGAACCUUACCAGGGCUUGACAUGCCCCGUUCAGCCCGUGAAAGCGGGUGGCCCGCAAGGGCGAGGGGUGCAGGUGCUGCACGGCUGUCGUCAGCUCGUGCCGUGAGGUGUUGGGUUAAG